CAGCCUAACACAUGCAAGUCGAACGGCAGCACAGAGGAGCUUGCUCCUUGGGUGGCGAGUGGCGGACGGGUGAGGAAUACAUCGGAAUCUACUCUGUCGUGGGGGAUAACGUAGGGAAACUUACGCUAAUACCGCAUACGACCUACGGGUGAAAGCAGGGGAUCUUCGGACCUUGCGCGAUUGAAUGAGCCGAUGUCGGAUUAGCUAGUUGGCGGGGUAAAGGCCCACCAAGGCGACGAUCCGUAGCUGGUCUGAGAGGAUGAUCAGCCACACUGGAACUGAGACACGGUCCAGACUCCUACGGGAGGCAGCAGUGGGGAAUAUUGGACAAUGGGCGCAAGCCUGAUCCAGCCAUACCGCGUGGGUGAAGAAGGCCUUCGGGUUGUAAAGCCCUUUUGUUGGGAAAGAAAUCCAGCCGGCUAAUACCUGGUUGGGAUGACGGUACCCAAAGAAUAAGCACCGGCUAACUUCGCGCCAGCAGCCGCGGUAAUACGAAGGGUGCAAGCGUUACUCGGAAUUACUGGGCGUAAAGC
This 533-nucleotide ribosomal RNA is filed under the name uncultured bacterium. Its description in RNAcentral is "bacterial SSU rRNA". It matches the Rfam family "Bacterial small subunit ribosomal RNA", at positions 44 to 566 of the family's 1533-position model. The record is from RNAcentral.